CCUACGGGUGGCAGCAGUGGGGAAUAUUGCACAAUGGGGGAAACCCUGAUGCAGCGACGCCGCGUGAGUGAAGAAGUAAUUCGUUAUGUAAAGCUCUAUCAGCAGGGAAGAAAACGACGGUAUCUGAGUAAGAAGCGCCGGCUAACUACGUGCCAGCAGCCGCGGGAAUACGUAGGGUGCAAGCGUUAACCGGAUUUACUGGGUGUAAAGGGAGCGUAGACGGCAGUGCAAGUCUGGAGUGAAAGGCGGGGGCUCAACCCGCGGACUGCUCUUGAAACUGGACGGCUGGAGUGCAGGAGAGGUAAGUAGAAUUCCUGGUGUAGCGGUGAAAUGCGUAGAUAUUAGGAGGAACACCAGUGGCGAAGGCGGCUUACUGGACAGUAACUGACGUUGAGGCGCGAAAGCGUGGGGAGCAAACAGGAUUAGAUACCCGAGUAGUC
RNAcentral lists this ribosomal RNA (440 nucleotides) under uncultured bacterium. RNAcentral's name for it is "partial 16S ribosomal RNA". It matches the Rfam family "Bacterial small subunit ribosomal RNA", at positions 338 to 795 of the family's 1533-position model. The record is from RNAcentral.